Molecule: non-coding RNA, 3262 nt
Organism: Oryctolagus cuniculus (rabbit)
Lineage: Eukaryota; Metazoa; Chordata; Mammalia; Lagomorpha; Leporidae
Source: RefSeq, a predicted model, not a curated record
CCAGCCUGUGGCCAUGGGACGCGCAGUGUCUGCCGGGAGAGGUAGUCUUCUGACUGGGGAGAGCUGUCAUUCUGUGGGGCUGAGGGUGUUCUUCCAGAAAUCUGGAUGGAUGACUGCAGAUUUAGCCACAUAAUGUCAAAUGGUUCCUCACGUUACCAAGGAAAGGGCAUAUGGAGGAAGGUGAAAAUAAAGGAUUUAGAAAUAUUCCACAUAUGUGGGAUCAAUAGAUAACUCAGAGGAACCUCAGAGCUAUGAAGAAUGAUGAAAGAAGUGUCUCACACAUCCUACAAAUAAAAACCACGUUCCUGAGUGGUUCUGCACGUGGACUCCAAUCAAGUUUCAGGCAGUUUCAGCUGAAAUCUCUUCAAGUGUGAGGGUGCGUCAGAGAGACAGGCGUCCUCUCGGGCUUUCUCUGGAGGCUCAGCUUCUUCGGUAAGUCAGCACUUGAGGGGUUCUCAUAGCCCCCCCAGUGUGUUUGUUUCUUAUUGAUUUGGGGAUAUAUUUUGAUAUGGGAUCUGCUAGACUGAAAAUUAGGAAUGUGUGGCUAGACCCUAAAUCUCUUCCUUGUGUGCUUAAUUCCACCAGUCAAAUGAGCUGCAAUUAAAGGCUGGAUAAGGGUUGUAUUUCGCUCACAGCAGCUUUCCCUGCAAGGAAGAGGCCACUGUUGGCACUGAUGUCGGCCUAAAAGCUUCUCUUUGACACAAAAGAGAAGGUGAAGGUGAUAGCAAUGCAGUAGGCAUCAGCCAGAGCUAUGUGGAGAGCGUGUAGGUAUAAGGAUUCUCCCCUGCCACCUAGCGCUGCUACUCGGAUCGAAAGGUCGUGCUCUUUCUGAUGUUCCCAACUGUGUCCCCUCUGUGGCUGAGAAGCCUAGUUGCCUUUUGCAAGGUGAAUUCUUUGUGAUAUAGGAAAGGUUAGUCAUUCCCUGCUGAUUUUCCCUUCUUUUGAAAUUUGGCAACUUCUUGAUCUUUUGGGAAAUGAGUUUUGAUACUCAGAUGCACUGGGAGAUUAAACUGAGGUGGAUCUCAGAUGAAUUUACAUGAAUAUGAACUUUUUAGAAGCAGUUUCAAUUUCACAGUCAGCCUUUUGACCAUUCAACACAGGCUUCUUUAGUAGAUUCUCACCGGUGCUCUGUUCUCAUCCAACUUCUCAGAAAUUGUUCCUUUUAUUACAACAGGCAUUAGGAUGGGCAGAAAUGAAGUCUGAAGGUGCUAGGGCAAACGUCAGUUUUAGCUAUCUGUGUUUAGUGAAUAUUUUGGAGGAAAAUAAUGAUCAUCUGUAUUUGGUACUUCCUUGGGUAAAAUAAGUAGAAGACAGCUGUUGUUCCUUGUAACAGAUGCAGAGAAGUUCCCAUCUUCCCUUUUUCCUCUUAUUGCGAUGUCCUUGAGCUUGAGACCUGUACUAGUCUCUAGAGUCAUGUUUGCUUGUCCUCUGAGUUUGGUAAAUGAAAGAGUUCAUCUCUACAGUACGAAUAAAAACGACUAGUGGUAUUUAUACUUAACUUGAGAAGCAUACCUAAAAAUGUUAUAAAUCUGUUGAGACCUUAUAAAAAGAGCAAAGAUACUAUAUAAAUGCAUUCUUUUUGAAUCUAUUUUCCAGAGAGCCAUUUUAAACUACUACAGUUGAAUUUUUCUGUAUUGUUUAUGUACAAGCUUAAUCUUUUUAAAGAAGUUAUUUUGGGAACUCUAAACUCAUGUUCCUUUGUUGAUUCGAAACUCAGUGAAAUGUGGUAUCCUCUUUUCUGAUCAUCCCAUACAUUUUGGUAGAUUUCAUGUGACAAAGAAAAGCCAGUUGAAACAAAAAAUGUGGAUUGGUUGUGGAAUGCCGAAUGUUAACAAAACAUUGUCAAACAAUUUUGUUGAAUCUCAUGGCUUUCUGUUGCUUGGUGGUGUGGGGGUGUGGAGAGGAGGGAAGAAAAUCUUCGGAAAUUAUUAAACCCUGAUAUUGGUGAAAAUCUAAAAAUUACGAAUUUCCCUAGAAGAAUUCAUCAAAAACAGAUAGCCAUUACAGGUUCUUGAAGGGCCAGCAGCAGUCAUAGUUUCAAAAUGAAUUUAGAUAAGUAAUGCUAAUUGCUAUAUAAAUGGUUUAAAACUAAAAAAUGACAUUCAUUCCAUGUCAAGGGAAAUCUCAUCAUUUCACUUCCUGUAGACAUAUUGUUAUGUGCAUUUUAAAUUUAGAAAUGAUAAUUUCUAACUUAAGUAUGUUUAAAGGAUUAAUUUUUGUGCCUAUUCAGUACAUUUGUGUUAAAAGAGAAAACUGGAUAUGAAUUUGAGAUUUUUGUAUGUGUGUUUCAUGUGGAAUGUGUUCAUGUGUUUACCAUAUGGGAUUAUAGUGCAUUGACUUAAUUUUCAAUGCAGCUGUAAUAAAACAGUCCCAAAAUGAGCCAGGAUGAUGAUAAUGGUGAUAAGUUUACUGGAUGCAUGGCACCAUGCCAUCACAUAUGCAUGUAUUAUCUCACAUCACUUGCAUUCAGUCCCAUGAGGGGAUACCAAUGUUCUCUACUUGACAGAUGAGCACUGAGUCUUCUUUGAGGUAAGUACUUGGAUGUAUCAUGAAGCUGUGAAAUGAUGGAGUUGCGCUCAGACCCAGGACUUGAUGGUUCAUAAAGCUUUGCUACUCCACUUUCAUUUGACUUACCUGCUUAUAUUUUAUGGUGACCCAACACCGUUGACUAAAGCAAGUGAUAAUGAAGCCAGUCAUUUCUCAAAUCCAUAACUAAUUAUUUUUGUUGUGUUGUUUCUUUCAUGACUGCACUCAUAUCUAUACCAGUUGACUGAAGGGAAAAUAUGGUGGAAAAGGUCUGCAAUGUGCUAAAAUUUGGUGUAACACAUCUGGUUAUUUGUGUGGUUUCUCCCUUUAGUUAUUGUUUUUCUAAAAAAGAGAUAACAUAAUGAAAAAUUUUAGGUUUUCCUACAAUGCUGGAAACACAAGUGGGAACCCUAAAAGGCAGAUCCAGACCUCUGAGAUAAGUAGUAAACUUGUCCCUCCACUGCUCAGUGAAGCAGGCAUUCCCAGGUGUUUUAUUUGCACCCUGCAACCAGAAAAAAAAAACAGGAAACAAAAGAUGAUACACACCUGCAGAUCCCCAUCCUCCCAUAUAUACCCAUACCAUGUGCUCAGAGCCAACUUGCCAGGUUUCAAGUACAGGCUGCACCUAGGUCUUUGACUCUGAUAUUUUAAGGCAGAAAGGAAAUGAAAAAAAAAAAAAAAACUUAGAUCAUUCCCUUUGCCUCACUUAUUUUCCAUUAAUAUAAAACUAGGUAAC